Molecule: ribosomal RNA, 253 nt
Filed under: uncultured bacterium
Lineage: Bacteria
Description: partial 16S ribosomal RNA
Rfam family: Bacterial small subunit ribosomal RNA
Source: RNAcentral
UACGAAGGGGGCUAGCGUUGUUCGGAUUUACUGGGCGUAAAGCGCGUGUAGGCGGACUUGUAAGUUGGGGGUGAAAUCCCGAGGCUCAACCUCGGAACUGCCUCCAAAACUACAAGUCUGGAGCAAGAUAGAGGCAAGUGGAAUUGCGAGUGUAGAGGUGAAAUUCGUAGAUAUUCGCAGGAACACCAGUGGCGAAGGCGACUUGCUGGAUCUUUGCUGACGCUGAGGCACGAAAGCGUGGGGAGCAAACAGG